Molecule: ribosomal RNA, 87 nt
Filed under: Marinobacter sp. AL4B
Lineage: Bacteria; Pseudomonadati; Pseudomonadota; Gammaproteobacteria; Pseudomonadales; Marinobacteraceae
Source: RNAcentral
UGAUCCCAUCCCGAACUCAGAAGUGAAACAAGCCUGCGCCGAUGGUAGUGUGGCACUUGCCCAUGUGAGAGUAGGUCAUCGUCAGAC